UGUGUGCGUGCGUGAGAGAGAAUUCGUGUGUCUGUGUUUCUGUCUCUGUGUCUGUGCGAGGAGAUGAUGGCAUUGAUUCACGAAAAAAAAAAUUAAAAAAAAACACAGAUAGGAGAAAAAUCCAGGGGAAAAACAGGAUUAAUUACCCCCCAGCUACUUUGCGAGCCAAAGAAAUGAAUGUGCCGGUAAACCCAGCAGACCUCGCCUCACCGUUCUCUCUGUUCCCAGGCUGUGCUGAAACGCUCAGCGGAGCUGCCAAACUCGGCCGAGCACUGGCUGCCCACCCACCGCUAAUUGGUUUCUGUCGUACCCAGAAAGCGGGCGAGGGGAUUACAGACUCAUCGACCUGGAGGAGACCAUUAGGCGACAGGAGGAGAGAAAUCCGGUCGGCGGAGCGCCAGAGCAUUGAAAGCCAGCCUGUAUCUACACUGUGUGAGGAGACUUUAAAAGGUUACAGAGUUCACGGCAUCCAAGGGUGUUUAGGAUGUCCUGAGAGGAGCAGAAUGAAGACAAAGAGGAACUUCUCUGUGACGCUGCAGGGAUCUAUUUUUUGGAUCCAACUGAGGGUUCCGAAAACAUUUUCUUACUAAAAAUGUGAAUAAAGACGCUGAGAAAGUGAA
Long non-coding RNA from Paramormyrops kingsleyae, 620 nucleotides. RefSeq lists it as uncharacterized. The record is from RefSeq and is a predicted model, not a curated record. NCBI's taxonomy places the organism in Eukaryota, Metazoa, Chordata, Actinopteri, Osteoglossiformes, Mormyridae.